This 495-nucleotide ribosomal RNA is filed under the name uncultured bacterium. Its description in RNAcentral is "partial 16S ribosomal RNA". It matches the Rfam family "Bacterial small subunit ribosomal RNA", at positions 28 to 507 of the family's 1533-position model. The record is from RNAcentral.
GACGAACGCUGGCGGCGUGCCUAAUACAUGCAAGUAGAACGCUGAAGGAGGAGCUUGCUUCUCUGGAUGAGUUGCGAACGGGUGAGUAACGCGUAGGUAACCUGCCUGGUAGCGGGGGAUAACUAUUGGAAACGAUAGCUAGUACCGCAUAAGAGUAGAUGUUGCAUGACAUUUGCUUAAAAGGUGCAAUUGCAUCACUACCAGAUGGACCUGCGUUGUAUUAGCUAGUUGGUGGGGUAACGGCUCACCAAGGCGACGAUACAUAGCCGACCUGAGAGGGGGCUCGGCCACACUGGGACUGGGACACGGCCCAGACUCCUACGGGAGGCAGCAGUAGGGAAUCUUCGGCAAUGGACGGAAGUCUGACCGAGCAACGCCGCGUGAGUGAAGAAGGUUUUCGGAUCGUAAAGCUCUGUUGUAAGAGAAGAACGAGUGUGAGAGUGGAAAGUUCACACUGUGACGGUAUCUUACCAGAAAGGGACGGCUAACUACGUG